GCCUCGGUGGUGUAGUGGUCAACAGUAGACGCUCGUCUGGUAAACAGGAGGGCGCUGGUUCAAUCCCAGCCGAGGUG
Molecule: transfer RNA, 77 nt
Filed under: Diaphorina citri (Asian citrus psyllid)
Lineage: Eukaryota; Metazoa; Arthropoda; Insecta; Hemiptera; Psyllidae
Rfam family: tRNA
About the family: Transfer RNA (tRNA) molecules are approximately 80 nucleotides in length. Their secondary structure includes four short double-helical elements and three loops (D, anti-codon, and T loops).
Source: Rfam by way of RNAcentral